ACUUUUUCAGAGCUUAUGAAGGGGAAGAGGAAAUAACAUCAGAAAGGUCACUAUUCUCUCAUCUUUAGAAGAACAUGUUGGACUAGAUGCUCUCUAAAGUCUCUUCAAGCUCUAAAUUUAUGAUUCUACAAAAAAUGGAGAGAUAUUGAAGAUUUUCAAGCAGGCAUGCAGAUGAUGCAGUGAAUUGAGCACUGGACCUGCAGUCAAGAAGACCUGAGUUCAAAUACUUGCUGGUUGUGUGACCCUGGGCAAGUCACUCUGCUUGCCUUUUUCCCUCAACUGUUAAAUGAAGAGGAUAAAGUCAGUGGGAGUUGAGACUCUUCCUCUUCCUUUGGC
This 336-nucleotide long non-coding RNA is filed under the name Monodelphis domestica (gray short-tailed opossum). RNAcentral describes it as "lncRNA (ENSMODG00000035324.2)". The record is from RNAcentral. Lineage: Eukaryota; Metazoa; Chordata; Mammalia; Didelphimorphia; Didelphidae.